GCUUACACAUGCAAGUCGAGCGGUAACAUUUCUAGCUUGCUAGAAGAUGACGAGCGGCGGACGGGUGAGUAACGCGUAGGAAUCUGCCUAGUAGUGGGGGACAACAUGUGGAAACGCAUGCUAAUACCGCAUACGCCCUACGGGGGAAAGGAGGGGAUCUUCGGACCUUUCGCUAUUAGAUGAGCCUGCGUGAGAUUAGCUAGUUGGUGGGGUAAAGGCCUACCAAGGCGACGAUCUCUAGCUGGUCUGAGAGGAUGAUCAGCCACACUGGGACUGAGACACGGCCCAGACUCCUACGGGAGGCAGCAGUGGGGAAUAUUGGACAAUGGGCGCAAGCCUGAUCCAGCCAUGCCGCGUGUGUGAAGAAGGCCUUAGGGUUGUAAAGCACUUUCAGGAGUGAGGAAGGGUGUACGGUUAAUACCCGUAUAUUUUGACGUUAACUCCAGAAGAAGCACCGGCUAACUCUGUGCCAGCAGCCGCGGUAAUACAGAGGGUGCGAGCGUUAAUCGGAAUUACUGGGCGUAAAGCGCGCGUANGCGGUUUGUUAAGUCGGAUGUGAAAUCC
Molecule: ribosomal RNA, 564 nt
Filed under: uncultured bacterium
Lineage: Bacteria
Description: bacterial SSU rRNA
Rfam family: Bacterial small subunit ribosomal RNA
Source: RNAcentral